UUUCAUGAUCGCAUCCACUGUCGUAGGUGCAGAAUUCGAGUUGCACUUGUCUCGGAUUACGUUCAACCCGUGGGGCCAGGAAGGAUCUUUAAUAGAGUGUUUAAUGUUGAUGUAUCAGACGACGUGAAUGAUCAUCUCCAACAAGAUGUAAAUACCCUAGCAAAUACUUACUGUGUCC
Solanum stenotomum is the source of this 178-nucleotide long non-coding RNA. RefSeq lists it as uncharacterized. Lineage: Eukaryota; Viridiplantae; Streptophyta; Magnoliopsida; Solanales; Solanaceae. The record is from RefSeq and is a predicted model, not a curated record. The transcript is spliced from 3 exons.